AUUAACUGCAUGGGGUGUAAAGUGCAGCCUGGGGCAUUAAUCAAGUCCUUUUUUUCCUCUAUAGGGUGAAGAACUGGACAUGUAGCUCUCAAAGCUGUAAACAGGAAGCUCUCUCCACGUGUUUUUGCAAUUAUUGAGCAGAACAAAUGCAACUGAUUGCACUGAGGAUUCCUGGGUAUGUGCUUAACCCUUGAGAGCCACUUUCUACAUUGCUAGGGUUACACUUUGUAUGAAGUAUUUUAUUUCUGACUGCUCUUAUAAUAAGCGAUUUCUCUUAAUGUUAUCAUUUGUUAUUGGAGGGUGGUGAGCUGCAAAUGUAAAGAUACAAAAAUAAUAAUUUUAACACAUUGUGUACAGCAUGUGAUAAUGAUUCUGUACAAGAUUGGGAUUCUAGUUGAACCUUUAGUUUAAUUCUUGUAUGCUUAAUAUUGUACUAAGAGUAUUUAUCCCCCCCAUGAUUUAUUACCCUUCCAGUCUAUAUCUUGACACCAUUUCCAGCAGUUAAAAGGAACAGAUCAAUAAUUAUUCACUGUGUCCCAGGAGGACACAUUAUACUGCUGGCCAGAUGGCUGAGCCAGACCCAGCUGCCUGAGUGUAUUGUGAAAGAGGAAGCUGCAUAUCCGGGUCCGUUUCAAUGUGAAAUCCUAUUCUUAGGCAAAGGAAACCACAAGUGGGGUUAAUCACCGCACUCCACUUCCUGUUUCAUUUCCCAAAGACAGAUCCAUGAGUGGCUGCUUCCUAAAUAUCAGCUAUAGGCAACACUGACUGCCUGAGGAAUGCACCAAAAUAGCCAGCAGGAAAAAUAUAUACAGACAAUAAUAACAUGCCACACAGUAUGGGUCAUUGUCACCUGUCUGUAGCAUAUUAGCUUUACAAACUAAGCAAAUAAACAAAGGAAGGACUUAUUUACACUAGCAUAAAUUGUGUGUGUGUGUGUGUGUGUAUAUAUAUAUAUAUAUAUAUAUAUAUAUGAGGUGCAUUUACCAAGCAGUAUGUUGUGACUUGAUUAUUUAGUAAACUAUUUACUAAACUUUUUGUCCCUGAUUAUUUACUAAUACAAAUGGGUAUAAGGAUUUUUUAUCCCUAACAGUGAAUUGCAGUGAAAUGGAAACCACAACAACAAAGCUGUGUUCAGAAUAAUCAAUUUGUGAAUAUAGUUGAGUGUGAGACUAUUUUGCAACUUGGUUAGUUCAGUCCUUAUUUUGCAUAUUUUUUCUUCACUUUUUUAUUUUAUUACAAUUCAAGGUUUAAUGAAUAACCGUCUGAUCUGUUUUUCUAUCCAUUGUGUUUUUUUUCAUUUCCUCGCAUUUCAUCCCCACUGCUUUGCCCAAGUCGCCUUCCCAUCUCUCACAUUAAUUGCUGCAUUUGCUGGCAUGGUGGGGUCACUUAUCUCUAGUGUUUCCGCCUUUGGCAGCACAGCUCCUCCCUUUACAAUAAACAAGUUUCACAAAGAUGGCAAUAUCGACAGCUGUUGUUAUUGUAGUCAUUCAGUGCCUAGAAUAGAAUUUAUAACACUGAGAACUAGAAUGUUCUACAGCUAAUACCUCAAUUAAAGUCAAAUUUGAAAGUGCAUUUGUAUUACUUAGCAGAGCUGGGAGAGAACAGGGAUACAAAAGUAUCUUUCUUUCGGGGCCAUCACCUGUGCUAGUCUGAGGUCAUCCUGUGAGCUGACUAACUGUCCCAGGACCAGAGGGUACAGGAGGAACACUGAAGGCAUGCAGUGAAAGCUAUCCCUGUGCUCAUCAUGUCUUCAUUUCAUUAUUGAAAAGAUUCAGGUUUACAUGUAUAAGUUCAUGUAUGAAGAAGUGCUGUAACUUAUAUGUAUCAUCGCAGUUCUGGAGUAUUUUUAUAUCCUGGUUUAUGUAUAGCUCACUCUAAAACCUGAGGAAAUUAUGUGAUCAGCUCAACAAGUACUAGCAGUGUGUUAAAAUAAUAGGAUGAAGGUUCUCAACAGAAAUAAGGCCACGUAGAAAGACCAUGCUCUGCUCUGCCUUUACCAGGUUUAAUUCCAUCCUUUCAAGUAUCAGAUGUCUCCAGCCAUGCACUCUUAAUGCCAGCUUAUUUUACCAGGUGCUCUUAAUAGCGCCAACUCCUAAGCAAAUACUUAUGUAAUUACCCCAUUCAGUACACUCACUUUCUAAAAAUAAAUACCAGUACCUUAAUGUUAUGCAAAAUGAUAUGUAAAAGGUACUUUAGGCAUGAGACGUGCAGAUAGUAUGUGAAUCAAAUCAGGAAAAUAUGCUAACUAAUCCUUUGAAUUUAUUUUAAUAUAUAUUUAUAUAGACUUAUUAUUCAUUUAAAGACUGAAUAAUUUAAGGAAAACCCAUUUCGGCCAUCCACUACUCCUGGAAUGCAAUACAUAACUAUGUUUGGGGUACUGAUUCCCACACCAGCAGCACAGUAUGUGACUAGUAAGCUACAUACAGUAAAUAUGGUUGCUUGAAUGAAACCAGGCAUCUAUAUUUGAAAGUGAGAAGCAUUAUUUUAGCUCUAUGCCCCUUUUCAACCAUUAGCAAUGUUGGGGUACCUUCUAGAUUCAAUGCUAAAUUCACAUCGCAAGAUAAUGCAUUGAGGAGGUUUUAAUAACUUUGGUUACUAAUGUGUGCAUAUGCACCAGGUUCUCUUGGCUGAACUAUUGUAAAAUACACUGUAGGUUUUAUUAUAUUCCACACCAUUAAAUACUGCCCUAACAGCUGCUUCUGUAUGAUCUUUGCUUUGCUCUGAAGGCAUCACUAUGAAGAGGGCAUCAGGGACCAAAAUAGAUUGUGUAAUCUGCAGGGCAGUAGCUCACAAAGUAUAAAAUGUUCCAUACUGUGUUAGUGAUUCCCCCCUAUGACUAAUACAAUAGUAACAUUUUCCUAGCCCUAAUAUAAUAUUUAUAGAUCAUCAAGUUAGCAUGCCAACAUGAAUUAUGUUGGCAUCUAGCACACUAAACAUAAACACAGUAGUAGCACGUCCACUAGGUGGUGUAAUUUAUCAUUGUCGGGCUUGCUAGGAUUCAAGCACAGAAUGUAUACAAGCUAGGUGAAGUUAUUAUAGCGUUAGACAUGGUACUGGCUACUUCUGGCCCUGCAGGUGUUGUGAUCCACAACUCCCAAAAGUCUAAUAAGCAAGCUGAGCAAUGUAGUAGCUGUACCAUAGAGUGUCUGGAACAAUGGAAGAAAAAAAACCCGGGUUAUAAAUAAAUUUCUAUUUUUUUUUUCCAGUUAUUAAAUGAAUAUUCCAAGACAUCAUAAUGACUACGGUCCACUUUGACAACUUACCGGUGCCCACUGCCAUCUCCUCGGGAACCAAGUUGCAGAUUCUUGUUUGUUUUUUUGUUAGUUUUUUUUUUUUUUUUACUUUUACAAGAAAAUAACCAAACCGAUAAAGUAGUUAAAAACCUGCAUAUAUGAACAUUAGCCCUGUUAGUGCCUCAUACUCAGGAUAUGCCUCAUAGAUUAUUUCAGCGCUAGUACAUGGUACUAAUUAUACAAUACUUAUGUAAGGUGAAUUGCACAGUUUAGGUAUACAAGACAAGGAGUCAGUGAAUGUAUGAACCAAAUCCUAUUUCCGUGCCCAGAAUCUAAACUGACUUACACCUUGUGAAUAUUGCAUAGUUUAUAUCCCAUUCAUUGAAAUGUUUGCUCACGACACUGUAAUGCUUAACACCUGAUACGUUGUUUACUCCUUUUUAUAUUUUUUUUGUAAUCCAAUCCAAACUUGAAAAAUCUAAUAAAUAAAGAUUGUAAAAAAAAACCCUGCACAUAUUUUAAGACCCCUGGGUAAAAACAGAGGGG
This 3779-nucleotide long non-coding RNA is filed under the name Pelobates cultripes (western spadefoot toad). Lineage: Eukaryota; Metazoa; Chordata; Amphibia; Anura; Pelobatidae. The record is from RNAcentral.